GACGAACGCUGGCGGCGUGCCUAACACAUGCAAGUCGAACGGAGAUAUGAUUACGGUUGUAUCUUAGUGGCGAACGGGUGAGUAACGCGUGAGCAACCUGACUCUUAGAGGGGGAUAACACUCGGAAACGGGUGCUAAUACCGCAUAAGACCACGACAUGGCAUCAUGACGAGGUCAAAGGAGCAAUCCGCUGAGAGAGGGGCUCGCGUCCCAUGAGAUAGAUGGCGGGGUAACGGACCACCAUGUCGACGAUGGGUAGCCGAGCUGAGAGGCUGAUCGGCCACACUGGAACUGGGACACGGUCCAGACUCCUACGGGAGGCAGCAGUGGGGAAUAUUGGGCAAUGGGCGCAAGCCUGACCCAGCAACGCCGCGUGAGGGAAGAAGGCUUUCGGGUUGUAAACCUCUGUCCUUGGUGACGAAAAAAAUGACGGUAGCCAAGGAGGAAGCCCCGGCUAACUACGUGCCAGCAGCCGCCGCAG
This 481-nucleotide ribosomal RNA is filed under the name uncultured bacterium. RNAcentral describes it as "partial 16S ribosomal RNA". It matches the Rfam family "Bacterial small subunit ribosomal RNA", at positions 28 to 523 of the family's 1533-position model. The record is from RNAcentral.